Molecule: transfer RNA, 68 nt
Filed under: Cautires sp. VK-2011
Lineage: Eukaryota; Metazoa; Arthropoda; Insecta; Coleoptera; Lycidae
Description: tRNA-Phe
Source: RNAcentral
AUUUUAAUAGCUUAUUUAUAAAGUAUAAUAUUGAAGAUAUUAAGAGGGCUUUAGCCUUAAAAUAUUUA